RNAcentral lists this ribosomal RNA (614 nucleotides) under uncultured bacterium. RNAcentral describes it as "bacterial SSU rRNA". It matches the Rfam family "Bacterial small subunit ribosomal RNA", at positions 338 to 944 of the family's 1533-position model. The record is from RNAcentral.
CCUACGGGAGGCAGCAGUAGGGAAUCUUCCGCAAUGGACGAAAGUCUGACGGAGCAACGCCGCGUGAACGAUGAAGGCCUUCGGGUCGUAAAGUUCUGUUGUUAGGGAAGAACAAGUGCUAGUUGAAUAAGCUGGCACCUUGACGGUACCUAACCAGAAAGCCACGGCUAACUACGUGCCAGCAGCCGCGGUAAUACGUAGGUGGCAAGCGUUGUCCGGAAUUAUUGGGCGUAAAGCGCGCGCAGGCGGUUUCUUAAGUCUGAUGUGAAAGCCCCCGGCUCAACCGGGGAGGGUCAUUGGAAACUGGGAAACUUGAGUGCAGAAGAGGAAAGUGGAAUUCCAAGUGUAGCGGUGAAAUGCGUAGAGAUUUGGAGGAACACCAGUGGCGAAGGCGACUUUCUGGUCUGUAACUGACGCUGAGGCGCGAAAGCGUGGGGAGCAAACAGGAUUAGAUACCCUGGUAGUCCACGCUGUAAACGAUGAGUGCUAAGUGUUAGAGGGUUUCCGCCCUUUAGUGCUGAAGUUACGCAUUAAGCACUCCGCCUGGGGAGUACGGUCGCAAGCUGAAACUCAAAGGAUUGACGGNUUGNGNGNGCGAGCGACACGAGGAGAGG